Molecule: long non-coding RNA, 579 nt
Organism: Brassica napus (rape)
Lineage: Eukaryota; Viridiplantae; Streptophyta; Magnoliopsida; Brassicales; Brassicaceae
Exons: 3
Source: RefSeq, a predicted model, not a curated record
UUGCUGUGAGAAAGAUCAGAAGGUGAGAUUCUUAAAUAAAACCCUAGACCUAGUUCAGUUCAGAUCAUGAUCAGGCCUUGAUCUUUCUCUUUGAUCAGUUCAGCCACAAUCUAAUCUUGGAGAAGAGGAUCAGCUGAGGCCAUCUAGUCCUUUGGUUCAUCUUGUUUCAGGUCAGAGGUGGAGUAAGGCCUUAGGUAUCCAACCAGUUCCAAGACUAAUCUCUUAGGUAACCCUUAGGCGGGAGACACUUUACUCUUUUGGACGGAAGGAGCGGCCAACCAGCGGUAGUAUUUUGUUGUCCUUGCAACGUACCUUUUGAUGUAUAUUUACUUACAAUGUUGUUGGGCGAUAGGCCGUAGGGUAAACUAUAACACUUUGUAAGAUGUUUAAAGUAAAUAAAUAAUGUAUAAAAGAUGUUUAUAAAUCACGAGUUCUCAUAUGAUAUUAGUCCUUGUCCGGGACGAACUAACUAUCGAAUAUUGCUUUAUCGGGUUGAAAAGCCUAGAGUAAUAUCCGAUAGGAGUGUCUCUGUUCUUUGGUUGUUGGUCUAAGGUGAUCGGAUUUAUUUCGAGAACCUCG